GGAAUAUUGGGCAAUGGGCGCAAGCCUGACCCAGCGACGCCGCGUGGGUGAUGAAGGCCCUUGGGUCGUAAAACCCUGUCAUGCGGGAAGAAAGAGCUGAGCUCGAACAGGGCCCAGCUCUGACGGUACCGCAGGAGGAAGCCCCGGCUCACUCCGUGCCCCCAGCCGCGGUAAUACGGAGGGGGCCAGCGCUAUUCGGAAUUAUUGGGCGUAAAGGGCAGGUAGGCGGCCUCAUAUGUCCUUUGUGAAAGCCCGCGGCUCAACCGAGGAACUGCAGGGGAAACUGUGGGGCUUGAGUCCGGGAGAGGGUAGCGGAAUUCCCAGUGUAGCGGUGAAAUGCGUAGAUAUUGGGAGGAACACCAGUGGCGAAGGCGGCUACCUGGACCGGAACUGACGCUAAGCUGCGAAAGCUAGGGGAGCAAAC
RNAcentral lists this ribosomal RNA (424 nucleotides) under uncultured bacterium. RNAcentral's name for it is "bacterial SSU rRNA". It matches the Rfam family "Bacterial small subunit ribosomal RNA", at positions 358 to 773 of the family's 1533-position model. The record is from RNAcentral.